RNAcentral lists this long non-coding RNA (380 nucleotides) under Setaria viridis. RNAcentral's name for it is "long non-coding RNA (SVIR_LNC003413)". The record is from RNAcentral. Lineage: Eukaryota; Viridiplantae; Streptophyta; Magnoliopsida; Poales; Poaceae.
CAAGGCCCACCAAAAUACUUGUACGGACCCACUCAAGGGAACGUACCGAAACCUACUUGGACAUGAAGGCUACUUUGCAACGCGCGUAGGCUUCAUGGACUUCCUGAAGACUAGUCAGGUCAAAAGGAAACUACUCUACCGAGUUAGAGUAUGACUCUGUAACGAACUCGACUAGGACUUGUACACAAUCCACCAUGUAACCCUACUCCCCCGACUAUAUAAGGGCGGGCAGGGACCCCCUCCAAAUAAGAAGAACAACUUGACACAAGUUCAAUACAACCAACACACAGGACGUAGGGUAUUACACGAUCUAGCAGCCCGAACCUGUCUAAAUCGUUUUCCUUGCAUCACCAUCGACUCCUUGAUUCUCGAUGACACCC